RNAcentral lists this long non-coding RNA (461 nucleotides) under Rattus norvegicus (Norway rat). Its description in RNAcentral is "long non-coding RNA NONRATT009136". The record is from RNAcentral. Lineage: Eukaryota; Metazoa; Chordata; Mammalia; Rodentia; Muridae.
CCUGUAAGCACACCCAAGGUCACGUACUUCAAGAGGAAGUAUGCGGAAGAAGAGGAGCUUCCCACACCGCUCAGCAGCUGCAGCCAUAAGGCCAAGGACUGGUCUGGGUGACCUGGGUCUCUUAAAAACCAUUAUUUACAGGAAACAAAUGCCAAAAGGAAGAAAUAGGUAAGUUCUCCCACUUUCUCCAAGAUGAAGCUUUUUAAUUAUUGCUAUUGAUAUUAAAUAGGUCUCAUUCAUACAGUGUAUGAGUAGAUCGUUUGGGCAAUUGUCCGCAAGGACCAAUUUUCUAAAGAUGUUCCUGUGUUAUGGCUGAAUAGUCUAGUAAUGUCUCGUCCUUUAUUUUCAAUAUUUGAUGAACAUUUUGGUGUUGGAAAUUUAGCUGAUAGAUGCUUGUACAUGACUGUGUUGUAAUAUAGUGAGGUUUUCUUGAUAUAUAUUUAUUAAAACGAUCAAAAUUC